Molecule: ribosomal RNA, 497 nt
Filed under: uncultured bacterium
Lineage: Bacteria
Description: partial 16S ribosomal RNA
Rfam family: Bacterial small subunit ribosomal RNA
Source: RNAcentral
GAUGAACGCUGGCGGCGUGCCUAAUACAUGCAAGUCGAGCGAACAGACGAGGAGCUUGCUCCUCUGACGUUAGCGGCGGACGGGUGAGUAACACGUGGAUAACCUACCUAUAAGACUGGGAUAACUUCGGGAAACCGGAGCUAAUACCGGAUAAUAUAUUGAACCGCAUGGUUCAAUAGUGAAAGACGGUUUUGCUGUCACUUAUAGGUGGAUCCGCGCCGCAUUAGCUAGUUGGUAAGGUAACGGCUUACCAAGGCGACGAUGCGUAGCCGACCUGAGAGGGUGAUCGGCCACACUGGAACUGAGACGCGGUCCAGACUCCUACGGGAGGCAGCAGUAGGGAAUCUUCCGCAAUGGGCGAAAGCCUGACGGAGCAACGCCGCGUGAGUGAUGAAGGUCUUCGGAUCGUAAAACUCUGUUAUUAGGGAAGAACAAAUGUGUAAGUAACUAUGCACGUCUUGACGGUACCUAAUCAGAAAGCCACGGCUAACUACGUG